CUGACUGAUUGUUUUUGCCUUUGAGGGAUAGGUCUCAGGUGGAUGCUUUCAGAUCAAAAUUACAAUCGUGGACUUAGCUUCUAAACCCACUUAUACAAUUUACUCUAAAGGUAUGUGAACUCCUUUGCCAGCAUAAAGGAUGUAAUACAAAAACUGUGAACCAGGCCCUGGGAUGUGAUGGAGGCCUCCUCCUUUGGCUUGAAGUAUUUGUGGAGUCACUGCCUGAUUUAUUGGGUCUCAGACUGCAGUAACACAUCUCUCUCUGCAGACAUACUAAAUCCAGUCUCUGUUAGUAAGUAGGCAAACAUCCCAGCAUGAGAACGGCUUAAUAGGAAGCUUCCCCCCUCUUAAGUAUCCUUGCAGAUACUUAAGAUACUCCCACUUAAGUAGGAAGCUGAGGUUAGAUAAGAAGUUGCAGCAGGGAGGAUAUGACCAGAGGAAGAGCGGAGUCAGAGGAGAGAAAAGCUGAGAGAAAGCAACAGUAAAGCUGCAGAGUUCUGUGAUUAACUCUCAGGGAGAAAAUGUCUCACUUGUAGCAAGGAGUAACCAAUGUAAUACCAUUUCCCGGAAGCCUAGAUUCACAAAAGACAACCUUAACAACAGUUUCACUUCCCAAUCAUUUCCACACUCGCUCUCAUACAGCAUUUUGUACUUUUUUAGUGUAACAACUACUGCUUAAUCUCUAAUUCUUGAAUGCAAACAGCAUGUAUAGGGUUUAAGUGUGAAGAUUCUGGUACAGAGGGACCGUAUGAUUUGCCUCUGUGGGAAGAUGCCAGAAGCUGCCCCUUGUCAGGUAAGAGCCAGCUCCAGCUGCUCCAAAAGGGAUCUGCCACUGGCCAGAGCUGAGUGAUGAGAAAUACUGAGUGUGCUUCUAGAAGAGCAGACUGAAGGAAGGGAAAACCUCUCUUGCAACAGCAGCUGGGAGAGAGGAAUAAGAUACUGUGAGAGAAACAGCCCUGAAACCACCAAGGUCAGUGCAGAAGGAAGGCAGGAGGUGCUCCAGGCAUGGAGCAGAAGUUCCCUGCAGCCCAUGGAGAAGCCCAUGGUGGAGCAGGUGGUUCCCUGCAGCCCAUGGGCACCACCUGGAGCAGAUUUCCAUGAACAGCCUGUGGAGGAGCACAUGGUGGAGCAAGAAGUCUGGAGGAUCUGCCACCCAUGAGAGGACCCAUGCUGGAGCAGUCUGCUCCUGAAGAUGGGGUCCUGUGGUACGGAUUGAUGUUGCAGCAGUUUCAAAAUCAGAGAAUGGUUUAGAUUGGAAGGGACCAUCUGGAAGUCUUGAAGAACUGCAACCUGUGGUAAACUCACUCUGGAUCUGUCAGUGAAGUACUGCAUCCCAUGGGAGAGACCUCACAAAGGAGCACUGGAAGAGUGAGGACGAAGAGUGGCAGUGAUGAAGCACUAGGAACUGACUGCAUCCCUAUUUACCAGAGUCUCUUGAGGGGAGAAAAUAGAAAAGAUAAAUAGGAUGAUGAUUUUAGUUUAAAUUCAGUAAUCACUGCUAUUGUUUUUUACUAAUUGGCAGGAAAUUACACUAAUCUUCUCUAUGCUGAGUCUGUUUUGCCCAUGGUUGUAAUUGGUGGGGGAUCUCUUUGCCUUAAUCUCAAUCCAUGAACUUUUCCUUGGUAUUUUUCUCCCUCUAUCCUUUUUGAGGAAGGGAAGUGAGAGAGGUCCUGUGUGGUGCCUAGCUGCCCAUCGGUGUUAAGCCACAACACACAACAUUAUGGGAAUGUUUUUGCAUACUUCCCCUCAUUUCAUUUUCUGUUUUGUUCAGUUUUGCAGGAGCAUGUCCAUUUCCACCAGUAUCCUGGGAGUCUUAACAAGAAACACACUAUUAAUGUUUACAGAGCCUCCUACACAAGUAAACAGCACUUUCCAGACAACCAUCCAGAAAUGAAAUAUCUACAUUUUCAUUUGGUUCCAUUGUUUAUUAUUAUACAGUAAGAAAGUAUGUAAUAUUUCUUUGCUGAAUUUAUAUGCCAUUAUGUUCAAGUCAUUAUUUCUUAUAUCUCAUUAAAUGAAAAAGCCCUGAA
This is a long non-coding RNA of Gallus gallus (chicken), 2030 nucleotides long. The record is from Ensembl. Lineage: Eukaryota; Metazoa; Chordata; Aves; Galliformes; Phasianidae.